Molecule: long non-coding RNA, 443 nt
Filed under: Populus tremula
Lineage: Eukaryota; Viridiplantae; Streptophyta; Magnoliopsida; Malpighiales; Salicaceae
Description: long non-coding RNA (PTRE_LNC003490)
Source: RNAcentral
UCCUAUCCACAGAGUUUUUGUGAAUUCAUAGAAUUCAUACAACUUUUUGUUUUUCCAUUUCUUUCUUUGUUCCGAACCAUUCUUUGAAUUCGAACUCUUCGUUCUUUUUCUUGAUUGAAUUUCUUUAUUCAAUAUUGAAUUGAAUUCACAGUUACAAAUGAAACGGAAGGACUUUUAUUGGAAUCCCUACCCCAAUUCUCAAUAAUAGGAGGGCAGAUUAGAUAUAUCUUUUAGCUCAUAUAUAACUAGCCUACUAUUACAUAUACAUGUCUUUCUUCCAUAACGUAAACCAACUAUUUGUAUCUUGGAUUCAGUCGUAUUUUAAAAACAUUUUUCGAAACAUCUAUAAAGGAAAGUUGGCUUAUAGCGAUUAUAUAUAUUACAUAUACCAAGUUUGAUCCCACUCUUCUAACGAAACUAUUUUCUCUUGAAUCUCAUUUUUU